This 253-nucleotide ribosomal RNA is filed under the name uncultured bacterium. Its description in RNAcentral is "partial 16S ribosomal RNA". It matches the Rfam family "Bacterial small subunit ribosomal RNA", at positions 524 to 776 of the family's 1533-position model. The record is from RNAcentral.
UACAGAGGGUGCAAGCGUUAAUCGGAAUUACUGGGCGUAAAGGGUGUGUAGGUGGUUAUGUAAGUUAGAUGUGAAAGCCCCGGGCUCAACCUGGGAAUUGCGUUUAAAACUGUGUAACUAGAGUAUUGUAGAGGAUAGUGGAAUUUCCAGUGUAGCGGUGAAAUGCGUAGAUAUUGGAAGGAACACCAGUGGCGAAGGCGACUAUCUGGGCAAAUACUGACACUGAGACACGAGAGCAUGGGGAGCAAACAGG